Molecule: ribosomal RNA, 602 nt
Filed under: uncultured bacterium
Lineage: Bacteria
Description: bacterial SSU rRNA
Rfam family: Bacterial small subunit ribosomal RNA
Source: RNAcentral
GGGCCCGCACAAGCGGUGGAGCAUGUGGUUUAAUUCGACGCAACGCGCAGAACCUUACCAGGGUUUGACAUCCUGUGCUCGCUGGUGAAAGCCAGUUUUCCCGCAAGGGACGCAGAGACAGGUGCUGCAUGGCUGUCGUCAGCUCGUGUCGUGAGAUGUUGGGUUAAGUCCCGCAACGAGCGCAACCCUCGCCUUUAGUUGCCAUCAUUAAGUUGGGCACUCUAGAGGGACCGCCGGCGGCAAGCCGGAGGAAGGUGGGGAUGACGUCAAGUCCUCAUGGCCCUUACACCCUGGGCUACACACGUGCUACAAUGGUGGUGACAGUGGGCAGCUAGACCGCGAGGUCGUGCUAAUCCCAAAAAACCAUCCCAGUUCAGAUUGUACUCUGCAACUCGAGUACAUGAAGGUGGAAUCGCUAGUAAUCGCAGAACAGCAGGCUGCGGUGAAUACGUUCCCGGGCCUUGUACACACCGCCCGUCACGGCAUGGGAGUUGGUUUUACCCGAAGACGGUGCGCUAACCCGCAAGGGAGGCAGCCGGCCACGGUAGGAUCAGCGACUGGGCCGAAGUCGUAACAAGGUAGCCGUAGGGGAACCUGCGGCU